UACGUAGGGGGCAAGCGUUGUCCGGAAUUAUUGGGCGUAAAGAGCGUGUAGGCGGCCAGAUAAGUCCGCUGUGAAAUCUCGAGGCUCAACUUCGAGCUGUCGGUGGAAACUAUCUGGCUAGAGUCCGGAAGAGGAGAAUGGAAUUCCUGGUGUAGCGGUGAAAUGCGCAGAUAUCAGGAAGAACACCCGUGGCGAAGGCGGGUCUCUGGGCAGUAACUGACGCUGAGGAGCGAAAGCGUGGGGAGCGAACAGG
This 253-nucleotide ribosomal RNA is filed under the name uncultured bacterium. RNAcentral describes it as "partial 16S ribosomal RNA". It matches the Rfam family "Bacterial small subunit ribosomal RNA", at positions 524 to 776 of the family's 1533-position model. The record is from RNAcentral.